This 586-nucleotide ribosomal RNA is filed under the name Meyerozyma guilliermondii. RNAcentral's name for it is "partial large subunit ribosomal RNA". It matches the Rfam family "Eukaryotic large subunit ribosomal RNA", at positions 66 to 668 of the family's 3401-position model. Lineage: Eukaryota; Fungi; Ascomycota; Pichiomycetes; Serinales; Debaryomycetaceae. The record is from RNAcentral.
CUCACGUGUAUGCCUUAGUAGCGGCGAGUGGAGCGGCAAAAGCUCCAAUUUGAAAUCUGGCGCCUUCGGUGUCCGAGUUGUAAUUUGAAGAUUGUAACCUUGGGGUUGGCUCUUGUCUAUGUUUCUUGGAACAGGACGUCACAGAGGGUGAGAAUCCCGUGCGAUGAGAUGCCCAAUUCUAUGUAAGGUGCUUUCGAAGAGUCGAGUUGUUUGGGAAUGCAGCUCUAAGUGGGUGGUAAAUUCCAUCUAAAGCUAAAUAUUGGCGAGAGACCGAUAGCGAACAAGUACAGUGAUGGAAAGAUGAAAAGAACUUUGAAAAGAGAGUGAAAAAGUACGUGAAAUUGUUGAAAGGGAAGGGUUUGAGAUCAGACUCGAUAUUUUGUGAGCCUUGCCUUCGUGGCGGGGUGACCCGCAGCUUAUCGGGCCAGCAUCGGUUUGGGCGGUAGGAUAAUGGCGUAGGAAUGUGACUUUACUUCGGUGAAGUGUUAUAGCCUGCGUUGAUGCUGCCUGCCUAGACCGAGGACUGCGAUUUUAUCAAGGAUGCUGGCAUAAUGAUCCCAAACCGCCCGUCUUGAAACACGGACCA